This is a small nuclear RNA of Ailuropoda melanoleuca (giant panda), 99 nucleotides long. The record is from Ensembl. NCBI's taxonomy places the organism in Eukaryota, Metazoa, Chordata, Mammalia, Carnivora, Ursidae.
GUACUCACUUUAGUAGCACAUGUACUAGAAUUGGAACAGAGAUUAGCACGGACCCUGCACAAGAAUGACAUGAAAAUUAGCAAAGUGUUCCGUAUUUUC